Molecule: long non-coding RNA, 404 nt
Filed under: Elaeis guineensis (African oil palm)
Lineage: Eukaryota; Viridiplantae; Streptophyta; Magnoliopsida; Arecales; Arecaceae
Description: long non-coding RNA (EGUI_LNC079533)
Source: RNAcentral
AUGGGGAGUGGAGCGGCGUCCGCUGUCGUGACUCGUCAGGGAGUGGUGGAAUCGCACAGGAUCCACCGCAGGGAGUGGAGCAGAAUCAUGACCGUUAAUACGGCCUGCCAGGGAGUAAUGGAGCUGCGUAGGGUCUGCCGCAGGGAGUGGAGCAGUGUUGUCCGUUACUGUGGCCUGCCAGGGGGUCCAGACUUGUCGGCCGAAGUUCGGUUGGAGUUGGUAGCGAGGUCCGGUAUCCGUAGGAGUUUGGACGAGGUCUUCCCGCAGUCGGACUAGAAGAUGGAGUCUGGCUUCCAUAGGAGUCCGGACGAAGUCUACUUGCAGUUGGGGUCGUGGGCGGAGUCCGGCUCCCGUAGGAGUCCGGAUGAAGUCUGUCUGCAGCCGUUGGAGUCGAGGAUGGAGCC